This 68-nucleotide microRNA precursor is filed under the name Nematostella vectensis (starlet sea anemone). RNAcentral's name for it is "microRNA nve-mir-9436 precursor (nve-mir-9436-2)". It matches the Rfam family "mir-9436 microRNA precursor family". Lineage: Eukaryota; Metazoa; Cnidaria; Anthozoa; Actiniaria; Edwardsiidae. The record is from miRBase by way of RNAcentral.
GCCUGGCUUAACACGAAAACAUGUUUGUCAAACAUUGCGUUUGACGCAAAUGUUUGUAUGUUUAGCCA